Phasianus colchicus (ring-necked pheasant) is the source of this 274-nucleotide long non-coding RNA. RefSeq lists it as uncharacterized. The record is from RefSeq and is a predicted model, not a curated record. NCBI's taxonomy places the organism in Eukaryota, Metazoa, Chordata, Aves, Galliformes, Phasianidae.
GGCCAGCAGCUGCAAGGGAAGUAUCUCUAGUUGGAGACUGUCUCCUUUGGAACAUUCAGCAAACCCUGAUGCUUGGUAAGGGGUACCGAUGACAUUCUGGAACAUGAGGAAAAACAACAUUCAAGCAAUAAGACUAUAAUCUCCAUUCUGCUGUCCACUGAAAUUGAGUUUCUUGAAGUCUAUGGAGUGCAAAUGAAAAUCCAAAGGGAGUUUGUACAGACAGUCAUAACAUCUUGAAGACCGUCACUAUGGAGCACCUGAGAUUGCACCUUAG